RNAcentral lists this transfer RNA (72 nucleotides) under Dipodomys ordii (Ord's kangaroo rat). It matches the Rfam family "tRNA". Rfam says of the family: Transfer RNA (tRNA) molecules are approximately 80 nucleotides in length. The record is from Rfam by way of RNAcentral. Lineage: Eukaryota; Metazoa; Chordata; Mammalia; Rodentia; Heteromyidae.
GGAGACAUGGCUCAGUGGUAGAACACCUGCUUAGCAAGCACAAAGUCCUGAGUUCAAAUCUCAGUACUGCCC